UACGGAGGAUCCAAGCGUUAUCCGGAUUCAUUGGGUUUAAAGGGUGCGUAGGCGGAAUGAUAAGUCAGCGGUGAAAUCCCUCGGCUUAACCGAGGAACUGCCGUUGAUACUGUCAAUCUUGAGUACAUUUGAUGUGGGCGGAAUGUGUCAUGUAGCGGUGAAAUGCUUAGAUAUGACACAGAACACCGAUUGCGAAGGCAGCUCACAAAACUGUAACUGACGCUGAGGCACGAAAGCGUGGGUAGUCAAACAGGA
RNAcentral lists this ribosomal RNA (255 nucleotides) under uncultured bacterium. RNAcentral's name for it is "partial 16S ribosomal RNA". It matches the Rfam family "Bacterial small subunit ribosomal RNA", at positions 524 to 777 of the family's 1533-position model. The record is from RNAcentral.